AGUGAACGCUGGCGGUAGGCCUAACACAUGCAAGUCGAACGGCAGCACAGUAAGAGCUUGCUCUUACGGGUGGCGAGUGGCGGACGGGUGAGGAAUACAUCGGAAUCUACUUUUUCGUGGGGGAUAACGUAGGGAAACUUACGCUAAUACCGCAUACGACCUACGGGUGAAAGCAGGGGAUCUUCGGACCUUGCGCGAUUGAAUGAGCCGAUGUCGGAUUAGCUAGUUGGCGGGGUAAAGGCCCACCAAGGCGACGAUCCGUAGCUGGUCUGAGAGGAUGAUCGGCGACACUGGAAGUGAGACACGGUCCAGACUACUACGGGAGGCAGCAGUGGGGAAUAUUGGACAAUGGGCGCAAGCCUGAUCCAGCCAUACCGCGUGGGUGAAGAAGGCCUUCGGGUUGUAAAGCCCUUUUGUUGGGAAAGAAAAGCAGCAGGUUAAUACCCCGCUGUUCUGACGGUACCCAAAGAAUAAGCACCGGCUAACUUCGUG
Molecule: ribosomal RNA, 492 nt
Filed under: uncultured bacterium
Lineage: Bacteria
Description: partial 16S ribosomal RNA
Rfam family: Bacterial small subunit ribosomal RNA
Source: RNAcentral